AGAGUUUGAUCCUGGCUCAGGACGAACGCUGGCGGCGCGCCUAACACAUGCAAGUCGAACGGAGCUGAGAGGAGCUUGCUUUUCUUAGCUUAGUGGCGAACGGGUGAGUAACGCGUGAGUAACCUGCCCUGGAGUGGGGGACAACAGUUGGAAACGACUGCUAAUACCGCAUAAGCCCACGGUGCUGCAUGGCACUGCGGGAAAAGGAUUUAUUCGCUCUAGGAUGGACUCGCGUCCAAUUAGCUAGUUGGUGAGGUAACGGCCCACCAAGGCGACGAUUGGUAGCCGGACUGAGAGGUUGAACGGCCACAUUGGGACUGAGACACGGCCCAGACUCCUACGGGAGGCAGCAGUGGGGGAUAUUGCACAAUGGGGGAAACCCUGAUGCAGCGACGCCGCGUGGAGGAAGAAGGUUUUCGGAUUGUAAACUCCUGUCGUUAGGGACGAUAAUGACGGUACCUAACAAGAAAGCACCGGCUAACUACGUGCCAGCAGCCGCGGUAAAACGUAGGGUGCAAGCGUUGUCCGGAAUUACUGGGUGUAAAGGGAGCGCAGGCGGACCGGCAAGUUGGAAGUGAAAUCCAUGGGCUCAACCCGUGAAUUGCUUUCAAAACUGCUGGCCUUGAGUAGUGCAGAGGUAGGUGGAAUUCCCGGUGUAGCGGUGGAAUGCGUAGAUAUCGGGAGGAACACCAGUGGCGAAGGCGACCUACUGGGCACCAACUGACGCUGAGGCUCGAAAGCAUGGGUAGCAAACAGGAUUAGAUACCCUGGUAGUCCAUGCCGUAAACGAUGAUUACUAGGUGUUGGAGGAUUGACCCCUUCAGUGCCGCAGUUAACACAAUAAGUAAUCCACCUGGGGAGUACGACCGCAAGGUUGAACUCAAAGGAAUUGACGGGGGCCCGACAAGCAGUGGAAGUAGUGGGUUUAAUUCGAAGCAACGCGAAGAACCUUACCAGGUCUGGCAUCCCAUGCUAAUGGAAGAAUGCAUGAAAUCCUUCCGGAAUCCAAACAAGGGGGUGCCAGGGUUGCCCUCACUCCUGGCCGGAGAAAUGUGGGGUAAAUCCCCCAACAAGCGGAACCCUUAUUGCCGUUUCUCCCUUAAAAGGACUUUGCGGAAAUGCCUUGAAAAAACGGAGGAAGGUGGGGAUGACGUCAAAUCAUCAUGCCCUUUAUGACCUGGGCUACACACGUACUACAAUGGCGUUUAACAAAGAGAAGCAAGACCGCGAGGUGGAGCAAAACUCAGAAACAACGUCUCAGUUCAGAUUGCAGGCUGCAACUCGCCUGCAUGAAGUCGGAAUUGCUAGUAAUCGCGGAUCAGCAUGCCGCGGUGAAUACGUUCCCGGGCCUUGCACACACCGCCCG
This 1366-nucleotide ribosomal RNA is filed under the name uncultured bacterium. RNAcentral describes it as "bacterial SSU rRNA". It matches the Rfam family "Bacterial small subunit ribosomal RNA". The record is from RNAcentral.